GACGAACGCUGGCGGCGUGCUUAACACAUGCAAGUCGAACGGAAGGGCCUCUUUCGGGGGGUACUCGAGUGGCGAACGGGUGAGUAACACGUGAGUAACCUGCCCUUGACUUUGGGAUAACUUCAGGAAACUGGGGCUAAUACCGGAUAGGAGCUCCUGCUGCAUGGUGGGGGGUGGAAAGUUUCGGCGGUUGGGGGUGGACUCGCGGCUUAUCAGCUUGUUGGUGGGGUAGUGGCUUACCAAGGCUUUGACGGGUAGCCGGCCUGAGAGGGUGACCGGCCACAUUGGGGCUGGGAUACGGCCCAGACUCCUACGGGGGGCAGGAGUGGGGAAUAUUGCACAAUGGGUGGGAGCCUGAUGCAGCAACGCCGUGUGCGGGAUGACGGCCUUCGGGUUGUAAACCGCUUUCGCUCAUGACGAAGCUUUGUGUGACGGUAGUGGGUAAAGAAGCACCGGCUAACUACGUG
This 467-nucleotide ribosomal RNA is filed under the name uncultured bacterium. Its description in RNAcentral is "partial 16S ribosomal RNA". It matches the Rfam family "Bacterial small subunit ribosomal RNA", at positions 28 to 507 of the family's 1533-position model. The record is from RNAcentral.